GGUUGUGCCCUCCCUUCUGUUAGGUGCUUUUAGAUUAAUUUACCACUGACUAUAAAAAAUACAUUGGUAUAUGAAAUUUUGGUUGAGCUAAAGAGGUUACUCCAUGACCUCUUUGCAGGUGCGUAGUUCUAUGAGAGCCAUGCAAUAUGAGAAACUAUUGCCUAGGUUGAAGAAAUUGCUUUCUAUUUUGCCUACUAUUUGGCCAAGGUAAUUCUGCUAUAUGAGAGGUGAAGUUGGAAUUUUUAAGUAAGAUUUUGAUUCUUUAUUUUUAUGUUGCUUGUCAAGCUUUUCCGGUUAUUUUAAUUUAUUCGAUACCAUCAAUGGGAAACUCGUAGUGAUUUGUCUUUUAUAGGAAUGUUAGACUAAGGAAGUGCCAUUGGUUUACUACUUUGAUAGUCCACUUUCAAAAAAUUUGUGAAAAAACGACACUGAAAAAAAAAAAUUAUAUCAACUAAUGCAUUAAGGUGCCAGACUAAUAGUGAUCAAUAAAAAUAUUUUAUAGGGCAGGAUCAAAAGUUUCAAUUAAAAGCAAUAUAGAGCUGGGGUCACAUUUAGUGUCAUUAUGCAGAACAAUAUGGAUUAAGUUGUUUCUAUCCUUAUAAAUGAAUUUUAGUCUUCUAAACCAGUUUAGUUUAUGUAGUUAAUUUUUAUAAUUCUUGAAUAUUGACUCUUGCAGGCAUGCCAUUAUAAAUUAUUUGAAGUCCUCUAUGUGUGUUGGGGUGGGGGUGGUUGGAGGGUUUGUUGGAUGCUGCUUUGUUAUUAGUGAUUGUUGUAAUUUAAUGCUACUUGUUUGGAUGCUUAUAAUCUUCAACACAUUUGCCCAUCCCUUUAUAAGCUCAUAUAUGAAAAUCAAUUUUUCCUCCUAGUCUAGGCCAAGGGGCUCCCUCAUUCAGUGUUAUAUAAAAUGGAAUCGUACCAACCAAACAUAUCAUCUCUAUCUCGGCUUAAUUCAAGGUGAAUAAAUGAACCCCAUUUAUUUUUUGAUAAGUUGUGGUUCAUUAAUGAAUGCUUUAUUGCAUAUAGAACCUACAAUGAUCCAGGGUCAUUUGAUGUAUUUAGUUGCAUGGUUGGAUUGGUGAAGAGCUAGAUGUCCUCAUUCUUAAUUACCAAGUAGGAUAUUUAGAAGACAGGUUCUGUUUUCGAGUUUCCUUUUUGAGCUGUAAAUGUUUUAACUUUUUUGCUUUUGUCUUAUUUGUUGAUAGCUUCAACUAAUGAUGGAAAGUUUCUUCUUGCUGCAUGGAACUGUAGACGUCCUACUUGCACAGACGAUAUCAUCUCUCUUAAUGAUGAUGAUGUUUGGAAGGGGAGCACCACUU
Molecule: long non-coding RNA, 1316 nt
Filed under: Vitis vinifera (wine grape)
Lineage: Eukaryota; Viridiplantae; Streptophyta; Magnoliopsida; Vitales; Vitaceae
Description: long non-coding RNA (VVIN_LNC000230)
Source: RNAcentral